GCAAGCUCGGAGAAUAAGUGCUGGGUAAGACAGGUGGCAGCCGCCACGGUAAUACCUGCGGCACAAGUGGUGUCCACGAUUAUUGGGCUUAAAGGGUCAGUAGCUGGCCGGAACCGUCUUAUGUGAAAUAUUGGUGCUUAACAUCAAUGCGUGCAUAAGAUACCUUCCGGCUAGGGAGCGGGUGAAGUUGAGAGUACUUAUGGGGUAGGGGUAAAAUCCUGUAAUCCUAUAAGGACUAUCGGUGGCGAAGGCGCUCAACUAGACCGUAUCCGACAGUGAGUGACGAAGGCUAGGAGAACGAAUCGGAUUAGAUACCCCCGUAGUCC
RNAcentral lists this ribosomal RNA (326 nucleotides) under uncultured bacterium. Its description in RNAcentral is "bacterial SSU rRNA". It matches the Rfam family "Archaeal small subunit ribosomal RNA", at positions 422 to 747 of the family's 1478-position model. The record is from RNAcentral.